This 403-nucleotide unclassified non-coding RNA is filed under the name Hevea brasiliensis (rubber tree). Lineage: Eukaryota; Viridiplantae; Streptophyta; Magnoliopsida; Malpighiales; Euphorbiaceae. The record is from RNAcentral.
AACAUCUUAAUGCAAGAAUGAAAAAAGCUUAUACCAAUGUUUCAUAAAAGGGAAUUGUGUCUCCUACUGGCUAAAUCAUAUGGAAAAGUGGCUGGCUGAUGCAGGAUGUUAAGAUUUGGGCAGAGGAGGUGAUUUUGGGAAUUGCAAGUGUUGCUUGAAAAAAGCAAGUCUCAUACAAAACACUUAAAACACAAUAUUUUUCUGUGACAUAAAGUGCACCACAUGCCUGCCGUGGGCGGGGGCGACAUUACUUGAAACGCUGACUCAGACACUAACAUGCGUGCACAACUAAAAAUUUCAUGCGACUGAUGGGCAAUACAAUCAUGAAAACAUGUCUUGUUCUGCAAUUAAAUUACAUAUCAAAUCAUAAACAGGAAUAUAAAAGGUGAUCAAAUGGAACCUG